CACGUAGGCACCAAGCGUUGUCCGGAUUUAUUGGGCGUAAGGAGCUCGUAGGCGGUUCAGUAAGUCAGGUGUGAAAUCUUUGGGCUUAACCCAAAGCGUGCACUUGAUACUGCUGUGACUUGAGUUCGGUAGGGGAGUGGGGAAUUCCUAGUGUAGCGGUGAAAUGCGCAGAUAUUAGGAGGAACACCGGUGGCGAAGGCGCCACUCUGGGCCGAAACUGACGCUGAGGAGCGAAAGCGUGGGUAGCAAACAGG
This 254-nucleotide ribosomal RNA is filed under the name uncultured bacterium. RNAcentral describes it as "partial 16S ribosomal RNA". It matches the Rfam family "Bacterial small subunit ribosomal RNA", at positions 524 to 776 of the family's 1533-position model. The record is from RNAcentral.